Oncorhynchus mykiss (rainbow trout) is the source of this 1510-nucleotide non-coding RNA. The record is from RefSeq and is a predicted model, not a curated record. Lineage: Eukaryota; Metazoa; Chordata; Actinopteri; Salmoniformes; Salmonidae.
GAAGACUCGUCGCAAGGACAGGACUCUACACGAGAGGACUCAAAAGGUAGGUAAUCAACACAAGUUGAAGACACUUCACAAGGACAGGACUCGACAUAAGGAGAGGACUCGACAGGUAGGUAAUCAACAAGUAGAAGAAUCGUCGCAAGGACAGGAAUCGACACAAGGAGUAGACUCGACACGAGUGGACUCGACAGGUAGGUAAUCGACACAAGGAGAAGACUGCACAAGGAGAUGACUUGACACGAGUGGACUCGGCAGGUAGGUAAUCGACACAUGUAGAAGACUCUUCACAAGGACAGGACUCGUCAGAUAGGUAAUCUACGCAAGGAGAAGACUCUACGCAAGGAGAAGACUCUACGCAAGGAGAAGACUCUACGCAAGGAGAAGACUCUACGCAAGGAGAAGACUUGACAGGUAGGUAAUCGACACAAGAAGAAGACUCUUCACAAGGACAGGACUCGACAUAAGGAGAGGACUCGACAGGUAGGUAAUCGACACGAAGAAGACUCGUCACAAGGACAGGAAUCGACACAAGGAGAGGACUCGACAGGUAGGUCAUCGACACAAGGAAAAGACUACACAAGGAGAUGACUCAAUGCAAGUAGAAGACUCUUCGCAAGGACAGGACUUGACACAAGGAGAAGACUCGUCGCAAGGACAGGACUCGUCACAAGGAGAGGAUUCGACCGGUAGGUAAUUGACACAUGGAGAAGACUCGUCGCAAGGACAGGAAUCGACACAAGGAGAGGACUCGACACGAGAGGACUCGAAAGGUAGGUAAUCGACACAAGAAGACUCGUCACAAGGAGGACUCGACAGGUAGGUAAUAGACACAAGGAGAAGACUCUAGGCAAGGAGAAGACUCUACACAAGGACAGGACUCGACAGGUAGGUAAUCGACACAAGAAGACUCUUCACAACGACAGGACUCGACGUAAGGAGAGGACUUGACAGGUAGGUAAUCGACACAAGAAGACUCGUCACAAGGAGGACUCGACAGGUAGGUAAUAGACACAAGGAAAAGACUCGACGCAAGGAGAAGACUCUACACAAGGACAGGACUCGACAGGUAGGUAAUCGACACAAGAAGACUCUUCACAACGACAGGACUCGACAUAAGGAGAGGACUCGACAGGUAGGUAAUCGACACAAGUAGAAGACUCUUCACAAGGAGAGGACUCGUCACAAGGAGGACUCGACAGGUAGGUAAUAGACACAAGGAGAAGACUCAACGCAAGGAGAAGACUCUACGCAAGGAGAAGACUAUGCAAGGAGAAGACUUGACAGGUAGGUAAUCGACACAAGAAGAAGAAUCGUCGCAAGGACAGGACUCGUCACAAGGAGAGGACUCGACAGGUAGGUAAUAGACACAAGGAGAAGACUCGACGCAAGGAGAAGACUCUACGCAAGGAGAAGACUCGUCGAAAGCACAGGCCUCAAAAGAUAGGUAAUCGACACAAGGAGAAGACUCGUCGCAAGGAGAAGACUCGUCGCAAGCAGAAGACUC